Molecule: ribosomal RNA, 221 nt
Filed under: uncultured bacterium
Lineage: Bacteria
Description: partial 16S ribosomal RNA
Rfam family: Bacterial small subunit ribosomal RNA
Source: RNAcentral
UACGUAGGUGACAAGCGUUAUCCGGAAUUAUUGGGCGUAAAGCGCCCGCAGGCGGCUGUUCAAGUCUGACGUGAAAUCGCUCGGCUUAACUGGGCGGGGUCGUUGGAAACUGAAUAGCUUGAGGCAAGGAGAGGGGCGUGGAAUUCCCGGUGUAGUGGUGGAAUGCGUAGAUAGUCGGGAGGAACAUCAGUGGCGCAAGCGGCGCCCUGGCCUUAGCCUGG